UUGGCCAAAAAGUUCAUUCGGGUUUUUCCAUAAGAUGGUACAGAAACAUCCAAACAAAGUUUUUGGCCAA
Molecule: microRNA precursor, 70 nt
Filed under: Tursiops truncatus (common bottlenose dolphin)
Lineage: Eukaryota; Metazoa; Chordata; Mammalia; Artiodactyla; Delphinidae
Description: miRNA (ENSTTRG00000024762.1)
Source: RNAcentral